UACGUAGGGUGCAAGCGUUGUCCGGAAUUAUUGGGCGUAAAGAGCUCGUAGGCGGUCUGUCGCGUCGGCUGUGAAAUCCCGAGGCUCAACCUCGGGUCUGCAGUCGAUACGGGCAAACUGGAGUGUUGCAGGGGAGACUGGAAUUCCUGGUGUAGCGGUGAAAUGCGCAGAUAUCAGGAGGAACACCGGUGGCGAAGGCGGGUCUCUGGGCAACAACUGGCGCUGAGGAGCGAAAGCGUGGGGAGCGAACAGG
Molecule: ribosomal RNA, 253 nt
Filed under: uncultured bacterium
Lineage: Bacteria
Description: partial 16S ribosomal RNA
Rfam family: Bacterial small subunit ribosomal RNA
Source: RNAcentral